GCUAUGGUAAUCCUGUUUAGUACGAGAGGAACCGCAGGUUCAGAUAAUUGGUAUAUGUGCCUGGUCGAAAGGCCAAUGGUGCGAAGCUACCAUCUGCCCCCAAAUGCCCUGGUAAAGCCCCAAAAUGC
This 128-nucleotide non-coding RNA is filed under the name Schistosoma curassoni. Its description in RNAcentral is "Eukaryotic large subunit ribosomal RNA". It matches the Rfam family "Eukaryotic large subunit ribosomal RNA", at positions 3013 to 3155 of the family's 3401-position model. The record is from Rfam by way of RNAcentral. Lineage: Eukaryota; Metazoa; Platyhelminthes; Trematoda; Strigeidida; Schistosomatidae.